Plasmodium chabaudi chabaudi is the source of this 47-nucleotide non-coding RNA. The record is from Rfam. NCBI's taxonomy places the organism in Eukaryota, Apicomplexa, Aconoidasida, Haemosporida, Plasmodiidae.
UUGAAGGCUUUUUUCAAAGCCAUCCUGCAAAUUAUAAUAAAAAAUAU